This 497-nucleotide ribosomal RNA is filed under the name uncultured bacterium. RNAcentral describes it as "partial 16S ribosomal RNA". It matches the Rfam family "Bacterial small subunit ribosomal RNA", at positions 28 to 507 of the family's 1533-position model. The record is from RNAcentral.
GACGAACGCUGGCGGCGUGCCUAAUACAUGCAAGUAGAACGCUGAAGAGAGGAGCUUGCUCUUCUUGGAUGAGUUGCGAACGGGUGAGUAACGCGUAGGUAACCUGCCUUGUAGCGGGGGAUAACUAUUGGAAACGAUAGCUAAUACCGCAUAACAAUGGAUGACCCAUGUCAUUUAUUUGAAAGGGGCAAAUGCUCCACUACAAGAUGGACCUGCGUUGUAUUAGCUAGUAGGUGAGGUAACGGCUCACCUAGGCGACGAUACAUAGCCGACCUGAGAGGGUGAUCGGCCACACUGGGACUGAGACACGGCCCAGACUCCUACGGGAGGCAGCAGUAGGGAAUCUUCGGCAAUGGGGGCAACCCUGACCGAGCAACGCCGCAUGAGUGAAGAAGGGUUUCGGAUCGUAAAGCUCUGUUGUAAGUCAAGAACGAGUGUGAGAGUGGAAAGUUCACACUGUGACGGUAGCUUACCAGAAAGGGACGGCUAACUACGUG